GUCUUAGGAGUUGCAAAUUCCCUUCCUGAAGUUUGUACUGGGGUUCUAGGGUCCGACUUGAUUUCUGGUGAAGUAACAUAAUCAGGAAUCCCAGAUUCCGGAGAGACAUCUGAGCGAUCUUCAAGGGUAAAUACAGGCGGUGGUGGGAGAUCUGAGCUGGAAAAGUUCUCACGCCAUAAGGCGGAAACAGCUGCUGCCUGACCUGGGGUACAACAGGUGGUGGUGGGAGAUCUGAGCUGGAAAAGUUCUCACGCCAUAAGGCGGAAACAGCUGCUGCCUGACCUGGGGUACUAAAUUUUGACCCUGGUUUUCGAGAGGAUAUAGGCGUU
RNAcentral lists this long non-coding RNA (329 nucleotides) under Nicotiana benthamiana. RNAcentral describes it as "long non-coding RNA (NBEN_LNC003322)". The record is from RNAcentral. Lineage: Eukaryota; Viridiplantae; Streptophyta; Magnoliopsida; Solanales; Solanaceae.